GUAUGGAUCUAGGGCUAGUAAGUCAGUGUUUUAUAAGUUACAAUAAACCAUUAGAUUUUAUGGGCGCAAUCAUUUUAUGAACAUGGUAUUCAAAAUUAAGAGUAAAAACUAUGGCUAAUCCUGAUUGGCUGAUUUGUGCGCCCAUUAUUUCUUAUUAUUAGAGACUUCGUGCCCUCUGCGUUAUAUCAAAGGGAAAUUAAAUUAUUUUCCUUAGC
Molecule: long non-coding RNA, 215 nt
Filed under: Mytilus galloprovincialis (Mediterranean mussel)
Lineage: Eukaryota; Metazoa; Mollusca; Bivalvia; Mytilida; Mytilidae
Source: RNAcentral